Molecule: ribosomal RNA, 1120 nt
Filed under: Stichotrichia sp. 3 bLdG1
Lineage: Eukaryota; Ciliophora; Spirotrichea
Description: SSU rRNA
Rfam family: Eukaryotic small subunit ribosomal RNA
Source: RNAcentral
CAUUAAAACAGUUAUAGUUUAUUUGAUAAUCAAACUUACAUGGAUAACCGUGGUAAUUCUAGAGCUAAUACAUGCUGGUUAGCCUGACUUUUAGGAAGGGCUGUAUUUAUUAGAUAACAAACCAAUAUUCCUUGUGUCUAUUGUGAUGACUCAUAAUAACUGAUCGAAUCGCAUGGACCUUGUCCGCGAUACAUCAUUCAAGUUUCUGCCCCAUCAGCUUUCGAUGGUAGUGUAUUGGACUACCAUGGCUCUUACGGGUAACGGAGGAUUAGGGUUCGAUUCCGGAGAGGGAGCCUGAGAAACGGCUACCACAUCUAAGGAAGGCAGCAGGCGCGUAAAUUACCCAAUCCUGACUCAGGGAGGUAGUGACAAGAAAUAACGGACCGAAGCACAUGUUUCGGGAUUGCAAUGAGUAGAAUUUAAACCCCUUUACGAGGAUCAAUUGGAGGGCAAGUCUGGUGCCAGCAGCCGCGGUAAUUCCAGCUCCAAUAGCAUAUAUUAAAGUUGUUGCAGUUAAAAAGCUCGUAGUUGGAUUUCUGGGAGGGUGCUGAUGUCCGCAUGUUUGCGUGUGCAGAGCGCCCUCCCAUCCUUCUGUUAACGUUUCUUGGUAUUCAUUUACUGGUUUCGGGCUCAGAUAUUUUACCUUGAGAAAAUUAGAGUGUUCCAGGCAGGCUUGCGCCGGAAUACAUUAGCAUGGAAUAAUAGAAUAGGACUUUUGUCUCCUUUGUUGGUUUGAGGGACUGAAGUAAUGAUUAAUAGGGAUAGUCGGGGGCAUUAGUACUUAAUUGUCAGAGGUGAAAUUCUCGGAUUUGUUAAAGACUAACUUAUGCGAAAGCAUUUGCCAAGGAUGUUUUCAUUAAUCAAGAACGAAAGUUAGGGGAUCAAAGACGAUCAGAUACCGUCCUAGUCUUAACCAUAAACUAUGCCGACUAGGGAUCGGAGGCGCGCAUUAUCCGCCUUCGGCACCUUAUGAGAAAUCAAAGUCUUUGGGUUCUGGGGGGAGUAUGGUCGCAAGGCUGAAACUUAAAGGAAUUGACGGAAGGGCACCACCAGGAGUGGAGCUUGCGGCUCAAUUUGACUCAACACGGGAAAACUUACCAGGUCCAGACAUAGUGAGGAU